UGGGGUGCAUUAAGUUCUUCGAUUUCUUCCCCUUUCUUUCUAGUGUGAAUUGAAAGGAAAGAACUGGCUAGUAGGAUUGAUGAGGAAACAAGAAAUACAUGAAAUGAGUAUGGAGGCUGGAUUGGAAACAUCCGGGGAGUUACAAGUCUGACAGAUGGGUUAUUAAACUGCCAUAGCUACACUACGAAGCCAGAUGCAAACCAAAUUGCCAAGCUGAGGGAGUGCCUGUCUGUACUGUAUGUACAUGUAUAUAUGUGUGUAUAUACACACGCAUAUUUCUGCAAUCACAUAGACUAGGUGUUGCAUACUUUUUUUUUUUGUGCAAUGGAUAAAAAUUAAUUCAAGCACCAGGUGAAGCAAUCUGAC
Long non-coding RNA from Salvator merianae (Argentine black and white tegu), 366 nucleotides. NCBI's taxonomy places the organism in Eukaryota, Metazoa, Chordata, Lepidosauria, Squamata, Teiidae. The record is from Ensembl.